Molecule: long non-coding RNA, 888 nt
Organism: Coturnix japonica (Japanese quail)
Lineage: Eukaryota; Metazoa; Chordata; Aves; Galliformes; Phasianidae
Source: RefSeq, a predicted model, not a curated record
AAAAGGACCACGGGUGCGAGACCCAAAAGGCACCAGCGGUCACGUAGAGGUGAGGGAGCAGCUCGCCCACUCGGGGGACAUCACUCCGCCCGCCCGGCUCUAGCGCUUGUCCAUCCUAUAUUCCCAUUUCAGAACUAAGCUAGUUCUACACUGGGAUGCUCGUGUAACCCGCCCAGAGAAAAGAGCCGUGGGCAGGGCAGAUCUUCACGCUUGAGCUUGGCGGCUCCGGGGCUCCGCGGCCACCAUCCUGUUUUCUCCCAGCUGGCGCCGCUCCGCCGCGACGUGAGCACGGGGUGAGAGCGGCCACUGCCCGGCACCGGAGCGACGCCCGGCCCGGCACCCGCUGGCUCGUCAGAUCUUGACACGUCCCGGCACAGCAUGGCACGGCACGGCACGGCACUGCAUGGCACGGCACGGCACGGCACUGCAUGGCACGGCGCCUCGGGACGGACCGGCGCCGCUCCCGGGCUGCUUUGCCACCCGGCCAUCCCCGACUGUACCGCUAGAUGGAGCCGGGUGCCCGGGUGCGGGCUGACCUCUCCGUCGGGUAUCUGCUAUUGGGGUCUCUGGCCCAUCUUCCCAUUCGCGCAGAGAAAUCGGCAAAAAAAAAGUGUGCGUAACGAAACCGAGCAGAGGCCAGACAUAGGUAUCAAAUAGGACACUUCAGGGGACUGCUGCUGAUUUUCCUGUUAUCUAUCCAAACUGAGCAUUAUACGAAUUUUCUCAUAUCCCGAGAGGGAAAAUAGGCACCAGUAGGAUUUCAUUAAAUAAAAAGAAAAUUCUUCUUCCAUAGGACACUCGAACUAUCAAUUAAGCAGAACACAGCCCCAUACCCCUAGCAGAAUUUCAGAAGCAAGCGAGCAAAGAAAUAAAUCCUUUCAAAUUUCA